GAGGGUAUAGCUCAGUGGUAGAGUGACUUCUUGGCAUGUAUGAGGUCCUGGGUUCAAUCCCCAGUACCUCCA
Molecule: transfer RNA, 72 nt
Filed under: Camelus bactrianus (Bactrian camel)
Lineage: Eukaryota; Metazoa; Chordata; Mammalia; Artiodactyla; Camelidae
Also listed under: 1 other name
Rfam family: tRNA
About the family: Transfer RNA (tRNA) molecules are approximately 80 nucleotides in length. Their secondary structure includes four short double-helical elements and three loops (D, anti-codon, and T loops).
Source: Rfam by way of RNAcentral